CCUUUUUGUUGUGUGGCCUGUGUGACAGGUCCCACAGCCUCUCCAGCCUCUGUGGGAAGAAGGAUCAUCUGAUGCCUAUGUAAUAGAGUUGCUGAAGGAGUGGAAGCAGCUUUGACAUUAUCAGUGGAACCCACCAGUGCAGACUGCUUCACCAAGGGCACCUGAGGCAGCAGAUCUGAGGAUUAGGGACGUAGGGAGCUGAAGCCUGGCUGGAGAGGUGGUGCGCACAAGAACCCCCACAUUCCCCGACAGGAGCCUGAAAAAGCAAGACGCCAUGUUGGGAGGACACGGAAGCAGUUCUAGGGAGAGGAGCACAUGGCAAGAAGCCAAGGCCUCCUGCCCACAGCCGAUACCCUGUGAUUGCCAGCAAGUAAACCAGAUGCAAUUGUGGUUUCCGUGAAGCACAGCUGGAAAACUGCUGCCCCCACGGAGGAAGAGGAAGAUGGGAAGAUGGUGGUUACUGCACACCAGGCACCAGCCUCGGGGCUAUGAGCUGUACAAACAUUACCCAUUUUAUCCUCGUGACCAUGUUCUGAGAAGGCUGUCAAUGAUCUCACUUUAUACAUGGGGAAAUUCAUGCAGACAGAGGCUGACUAAAUUGCCAUGGUCACUCAGCUAGUAGGAACUGGAGCUGUAACUUGAACCCGGGUCUUUUGUUUCUGUGGCUCCUGGUAGCACAUGCCGGGCUUGAAGUGAGAUCCGGAGGAUGUUGGAAACAACGUGUUCCCCAUCAUGAAAGUCCUUAUGAUACCUUAUGAUGCAGAGUUGGCAGCCAGGAGCAGGGGCUUCCAGAAGCAUGGCUGACCCUUGUUGGGAUCUCGCUCCUGUGAGCCUUGGAACGUCUAGGGAGAAAGAGCAGCCAAAUUUAGAGCUGCAGGAGCUUUGAGAUGCAGCUCAGGCAUCAUCUCUGGGAAGUCUUUCCUGGAACCACAGCCUGGGCCCUGUACCUGAUUCCCAGCCCCUGUGGCUCUUUUUGCAUUUGCUGCCUCUUUUCACAAUUCUGUCUCCUUAUGUCUUCCACUCUACACGCAAGCCCCUUGAGGGCAGGACCAUGACUCAGUCAUCCUGUACCCUAGCACCCACCCUGGGUCUGCAUCUGGAAGGAGCUCACUAAGUGAUUAUUGAGCCAAACUGAACUGUAGCAGGAGUGAGCAAAGCUAAUUCAUGGGUGCAGAAUGGGAGCACAGAGCUGCCAGAAUCCAGAGACAACUGUAACUGUCCCGGCACAGGGGGCUUCAGGCCGCGGUGAGAGCCACUGAAAGCAAGAGAGCCAGGUGGUGGCUCAGUUCACACUGAGUCCUGCUGAAGAAAUAGGCACAUCGUGUGUGUUAAAAUCAGCACCCCAUGCACCUGUAGGAAGAGACUGAGGCACCCUGGAGGCCCCUCCCAAUAAUUAAAAGGCCCUCUGGGGCCUGUGGGAGCCCUAGCUGAUGAAAUCACAAAGGCCUCAGCCUCUAAAGUGUUUCCAGUAAAAUGCUACCAGGAUUUUCCUCCCUUAAAUCUGGAUGAAAGGGCUGUCUGUGCUACAAAGUGCACACCUGGCGUUGAUACGCAGUCUCUUGCUGCCUGUUAACUAACCCACCAGCCGACAAGUUCUGCCCACUGGCAGGAGCAAGGACUUAUAAAAAAUAGUGCCUCCCUCCCAAGGGCUUAUGAGCUGGUUAAGUGCAGAGGACAAAUAGAAUGAAAGAAAAGGCAAUCUCGGCAUAGUAUUUAGUUAAUUCUUCUCUCUCUCUUGUUCCCUCUCUCUCCUUUCUCUCUUCCUCCCUCCUUUCUAUGACUUGUCCUCUCCACACAACUCCUUUUCCGUUUUCCCUCCCCUGCCUCCCCACCUUCUUUCUUGACUUCCCAUCUUGCUCCCUUUCUUCCUGCCUGCCCAUCUGCUUUCCUUUCUUAUCUCUGGUGCAAAUUCUGCAUAUAGUCGCUCUCCUCAUUUCAUGACAGGCUGUCUUCAUCAGUUUCUGAGUUCUUUUGUUAUUUUAUAAAAUAUUUUACAUGCUGUCCUCAAAAAAUCCCCUCCCCCAGAAAAGGCCCAUUCAAAAGUACUUACUAUACGUCCUUAGAUAGGCAAUGAUCUCUGAAAUAUAUAUAGGCUUGCUCUAUAUGUGUUUUUGUAAGUGUACUUUUCUUUCAUUAAAUAUGCAGAUCUUAAUUGUACAGUUUGAGGUGUUUUGACAAAGGUAUAUACCAGUAAAACCACCACCCCAACCAAGGUACCGAACACUUUCAUCUCUCUGGAAAGUCCCCUUGUGCCACCUUCCAGUCAACUCUCACCCUCCAGAGGCACCCACUGUUCAGAUUUCUACAUGCAUUUUGCCUGUUGCUGAACUGGAACCUCACAGCCUUUUACGUCUGGCUUCUUUCACUUAACAUAAUGUUUUUAAGUCAUCCAUGUAGUUCAUUCUUUUUUUUGUUGCAGAGCAAUAUUCCAUUGUGUGAAUGGAUGUACUUUAUCCAUCAACAGUUGAUGAAGUUGGGUUGGUGGCACUUUUUGGCUAUCGUGGGUAAUGCUGCUCUGGAUGUUUCUGCACAAGUCUUUAUUGUGGACAUGGGUUUCCAUUUCUUCUGGGCAAAUGCCCAGGAACAGAAUUGCUGAUUCAUUAGGAAGUUAUAUGUUUAACUUCAUAAGAAACUGGAAAACCGCACUCCACAGUGUUCAUGCUAUUGCACAUUGCCCCCAGUGCCAUGUGAAUGUUUCAUUCUUGGGGUCUAGAAUAUCUUACUGCAGUUUUAAUUGGAAGUUCUCUGAUGACUUUUGAUAGAGUAUCUUUUCAUGUGCUUAUUGGUUAUUUAUUUCUUCUUUAAAGAAGAGUCUAGAUCCUUUUCCCAUUUAAAAUUGCAUUGCUUCUAUUUUUACUGUUGAUUCUUAGAAGUUCUUUACAUAUUUUAGAUUUAUAUACAGUAAAUAUUUUCUCCCAGUCCAUGGCUUGCCUUUACCUUUUCUUAAUGGUGUCUUUUGAUUAACCAGACAUUUUAAAUUUUCAUGAAGCCUAUUGUAUCGGGGGUUGUUUUUGUUUGUUCAUUUAUGGUUAGUACUCUUUUUGGUGCUAGCCAGGAAAACUUUGCCUACAUUCUCCUAAGCUCAUGAAUAUAUUUUUCUAUAUUUGUUUCUAGGACAUUUAUAAUUCAAACUUUUAUGUUCUAGCCUAUCACUCAUGUAUAGUUAUGUAUAGUAUAAAUAAGGAUUGAAGUUCAUUUUUCUUUCCAUAUACUUAUCCAGUUAUUCCAGCACCAUUUGUUGAAAACACUUUCUUUCCCUCAUUGAAUUUCCUUGAAGCUUGUGCUCAUAACUUAUAUAACGAGUAUUGCGUUACAAUUUCCAUUAUAUUUCUUAAUUUUUCACUUAACACAAUGUUUAUAUGAUCUAUCCGCAAUGCUGUAUUCAGUCAUUUGAAUUCACUCAUUCAUUUUAUCAUUCAAUAAAUCUGCAGUGGUGAAGAAAACAGAA
Molecule: long non-coding RNA, 3448 nt
Filed under: Homo sapiens (human)
Lineage: Eukaryota; Metazoa; Chordata; Mammalia; Primates; Hominidae
Description: HSALNT0331937
Source: RNAcentral